Non-coding RNA from Triticum aestivum (bread wheat), 115 nucleotides. NCBI's taxonomy places the organism in Eukaryota, Viridiplantae, Streptophyta, Magnoliopsida, Poales, Poaceae. The record is from Rfam.
GUUGUACUCCCUCCGUUUGGAAUUACUUGUCGCUAAAAUGGAUGUACCUAGAACUAAAAUACGUCUAGAUACAUCCAUUUCUGCGACCAGUUAUUCCGAACAGAGGGAGUAAGAG